Long non-coding RNA from Etheostoma cragini (Arkansas darter), 295 nucleotides. RefSeq lists it as uncharacterized. The record is from RefSeq and is a predicted model, not a curated record. Lineage: Eukaryota; Metazoa; Chordata; Actinopteri; Perciformes; Percidae. The transcript is spliced from 3 exons.
AUUAUGGGCUGGUUUUUAAAAUUCCAGAGGAACCAGACCCACAUGACGCGUUCGUCCAAUCAGCUGUAGGUUUAAAUUUUUUGGGCAACAACACAGAUUAGUACCGCCUGCUGUUAUGGAGACGUAUUGUGUCUCGCGCACGUGCAGAACGUACACUCAAGUCGACGUCGCUUCGGUGUGUUGCGAGGAACUUUUGUGACCAACUCUGGGAGACUGUCAGUCCUGCUGCCUUUUCUGCCGAAGGUCGGCCGUCGGGUUGGUGCAUCAGAGCCUUAAUCUUACAUCUUAAGCUGCU